CCAGGCCCUACGGGGUGCAGCAGGCGCGAAACCUCCGCAAUGUGAGAAAUCGCGACGGGGGGAUCCCAAGUGCCAUUCUUAACGGGAUGGCUUUUCAUUAGUGUAAAGAGCUUUUGGAAUAAGAGCUGGGCAAGACCGGUGCCAGCCGCCGCGGUAACACCGGCAGCUCUAGUGGUAGCAGUUUUUAUUGGGCCUAAAGCGUCCGUAGCCGGUUUAAUAAGUCUCUGGUGAAAUCCUGCAGCUUAACUGUGGGAAUUGCUGGAGAUACUAUUAGACUUGAGAUCGGGAGAGGUUAGAGGUACUCCCAGGGUAGAGGUGAAAUUCUGUAAUCCUGGGAGGACCGCCUGUUGCGAAGGCGCCUGACUGGAACGAUUCUGACGGUGAGGGACGAAAGCUAGGGGCGCGAACCGGAUUAGAUACCCGGGUAGUCCUAGCUGUAAACGAUGCGGACUUGGUGUUGGGGUGGCUUUGAGCUGUCCCAGUGCCGAAGGGAAGCUGUUAAGUCCGCCGCCUGGGAAGUACGGUCGCAAGACUAAAACUUAAAGGAAUUGGCGGGGGAGCACCACAACGCGUGGAGCCUGCGGUUUAAUUGGAGUCAACGCCGG
RNAcentral lists this ribosomal RNA (605 nucleotides) under uncultured archaeon. RNAcentral describes it as "bacterial SSU rRNA". It matches the Rfam family "Archaeal small subunit ribosomal RNA", at positions 316 to 921 of the family's 1478-position model. The record is from RNAcentral.